GUGAGGUGAUGACAAAGUUUAUCCAUUCUCUGAGUGCAGUGGUGCUGUCCUCCUGCAGCACCGCGAUUCCUGUUCUAGGGUCUUGGUGUUGUGCAGCCUCCAGAGAGCCUGCAGUCUCCCAGUGUCCUACUGGGGACUGCCGUGGUGUGUGGCUGGCUGCCUGCAGGGGGAAGUGGUGCCGGCAGGGUUGGAGCCCCUCUCUGGGGGGCUCUGUCCCCACUGAGAUGAGGGAUGAUGUCUGAUCAC
This is a small nucleolar RNA of Athene cunicularia (burrowing owl), 246 nucleotides long. Ensembl annotates it as small nucleolar RNA SNORD17. The record is from Ensembl. Lineage: Eukaryota; Metazoa; Chordata; Aves; Strigiformes; Strigidae.